Long non-coding RNA from Dromaius novaehollandiae (emu), 3835 nucleotides. RefSeq lists it as uncharacterized. The record is from RefSeq and is a predicted model, not a curated record. Lineage: Eukaryota; Metazoa; Chordata; Aves; Casuariiformes; Dromaiidae. The transcript has 3 exons.
AAAAAAAAAAACAAUCCUCUUCCUCUUUAUAGCUUUUCACAUAACUUAAGAUUUUGGUCACAUCUCCUCUUAUUUUUUUUCUAUUUUAGACAGAACAACCCCAUUUUGUUCAACCUUCUCUUACAUGUUGUUUUCUUCACCUCUGAUUGUAUUUUUUGUUCUCUCCAGACUCUCUUCACUUGGCCCACCUCUUUCUUGAAAUGUGGUGGCCAGCACUGUACAACUACUGCUGGAUCUGAAUAGCCUGGAAAGAUUGUCCUUGUGUGUUUGCUCUGAUUGCAUAUCCCAUUACACUUCAUGUCUCUUUCACAGUAGUGUGUCCCCGUUGGCACAUAUGCGACUUGAAAGCCAUAGACAGCCACUGUUUCUCAUCUGCAGAACUUCUGCUUAGCCAGUAUUUCCUCCCUCCUAUUCACAUUUUUAGCACAAGAUUAGAACCAUGUAGUUACCUGGGUGAAAUAUUGUCCUAUUUUUCUGGACUUCCGUUUCUUCAGUUUGUCAUUCUGAACAGUCCUCUCCUCCAGCAUAUAGACAGUAGUCCUCAAGACAGUGAAGUAAAUGCUAUAUGGUCAAAGUUGUGUAAGAUGCUGUCUGAGUUUAGUCACAUCUAUGUAGUCUGUGCAGCCUCCAGUGCUAAUUCAGAGAACUAAGUAGGUCGGAAGCUCCACUGACUGUAAGACUACCUCUAGGUUAGGUGCCUAAAAUCAGAUGUUAUGAUAUCUUUCCUCUAUGCUCCGACAGUCUCUGUGUAUGUAACUCAUCUCAUCUAGCUUCAGCCCCUAAAGAGUUCAAGGUGUCCAGCUGAAGCUACUUGUCUGAAAUGCCAGGGGACUUUCCAGAGAGUAAUUCAUCCAGUCUUUCUCAGCCAUUGAUCUCACUUGGGAAGGAACCAUUCGUUGGACAAGCUAUCUCACUGGACACUGAGGGAGCCUAGAUGACUAAGAUUUGGACUGUUAACAUUAAAUGGGAUGGAUCUAGGCCUACACCUGAGCUUAUUUGUCUGUAAAGCUGGAUAAUUCUACCUGUUUCAUGAGGAUAUUUAAAGCCUAAGUGGUGCUUUUGAAUGGACUCAGUUGAUGAAGUAGUUUAGAAGUGUAAGGGUAAAUUAUGAAGGAAGAAAAGCAUACAUCUAGUACCUCUAGGCACACAAAGAGUUUUUGUCUUGCUUUUGGAAAUGUUCCAUGAAACAGCAAUGAAUGGAAGAGCCUCCUGGUCAAAUAAACAGCGCAUGCAUUCUACUUUUUAAUAAUUUGUGUCCAGUUAAUGGUACAAUAUGAUAUGGCUUUACAGGUUGGAGCAAGUUUUGCAAAAGCUUAUUAUGUGACCUUUGUUGUCUUCUGUCAUUGUAAGAUUCUUCAGCCCACCAGAACAAGGUUACCCUAGUGCAAUUAAGGUUUGAGAAUCAUGUUUGUAUUUGCCUUGUGUUGAAAUCUGUCCUGCGUUUUGUAUGCCAGAAGGCUCUUUGGUCUGAGACAAUUUUUUUUUUUUUUAAUAGCUGAUAUGCUAUCUUUUAAAUCAAUGACUUUUGGAGGAAAUAAUAAAAUAAAGUAGCAUUAAGUUGUGGAGAGAGGGGGGAAUGAGAAGAAAAUGAGAAAUGGAAAAAGGAGAAAUAAUGAGACUUGACUCUUUUCUGCUGUAAUGGAUUUUGCCUAAUAUUCAAGUUCAGCAUACAAAUGAAGCUGUGCUGGUUAUGUAGUGUUGAUACUGAAUUGAAAGAAAAGUUGUUUAUUGAAAAUUUGUGCAGAAAAAGAGAGGGCUGACUGUUGUUUUGCACUGAGAAAUGCUCUGACCCAUAAAGAGAGCAAUAUAAGUUCCUAAAUAAAUGGUUGCCUAAGAACUGUCAUUACUCCAUCUGAUAGGAGUUUAGUUUUUAAUAUUUAUUACUUUCUGAGAUAGUGGAAUAUGAGAAAUGAUUUUCUGAAAUUGGGCAAUAAGCUAUGAUUUUCAUCAGGAAUUAUUUAUAAAAAUACACUUUUCUGGACAUGGUAAAAAUGCAAACAUAAAAAUAUCAGCUUAUCUUCUAUUGACAUACUCUGAAUAAGGUGGUCUGAGCAAUCCCUUCCCUAUUCAUUAUCCACAUUUUUAUAAUUCUUUUUUUUUCUUGUGGAAUUCAUUCUAGCAGGUAAUGAAUCCCAGUAGAGAAAUCAUAAUCUUAAAUGGGCAGAAUAAUAAAAGAACACUGAUCACAUGAAUAUUUAUGAAAAUUCUGAUUAGAGACAGCUUUUAGCUACAAAAAUUACAUCUUGAUUCAAACAUACUAAAAAUUUAGAGAUGUUUCUCAAGGUGUCAUGGAGUUAACACUGAAUAGACCAGUUCAGUGCUGUAAAGUUGAAAGUCUGCAGCCACUUUUCCACUUUUUCUUUUAGUAGGCUUUGGAUUCAGUGGAUUGUAAAUCCACUCCUGGUCCAUAUGGACUGUUUGUGGAGUAAGUGUCAAAGAUCUGAGUAGUCAAAUGUCCAAAUCAUUCUCUCCAGCUUGAAAAAUUGACCUUUCAUGUGCAUAAGCCUUAUAAGGUUUAGUUUGGGGUAAGUAUCCCAAAGACCAUAGGGUUUUGGGAAUCUUUUUUAUCUGGAAAUUUUGAAAUGAAUUUUUCCUCUAUUUUCCCUCUAUUUCUAGUCUGUUACAUCCCAUGGGGCAGCCAUUGGCUUUUUGGGAGUGCAUCAAGGAUACUUCAUGUGAACAAGCUGAGAGUAGAAAUGUAACAUUAACACAGUAGGUUACAAUAAACAGUUGGAACUCGCAAUAUUGAUUUUCUGUGUGUUUCUUAGAUCAGCAAAAUCAUCACUCCCUUUCUGUAUUUAUAUUCCUGCUCUGAUAUAUCCCAUGCUCAGAAUUCCUAAUUCCUUCAGUUCCUUUCCCUCUUUUCUUUGAGAAAAUAAUCUGGCAGUUGGGAUAGCAAAUACUUCAGCCACACUGUGUGAACAUCUGGGAAACUUGACAAAAAAAUGUUGAGUUCAGCAGUCAAGUUUUAGUAGUUGGCUAAGUCAUUUGCACUGGAAUUGCUGGGUUAUCUCUGUCCUUGGAGACCAAUAUAAAGUGAGACUUUUUCUACGAAAAGUGGAAGAAGUCUCAUCACUGAAACAUUUGUUAAACGUUUGUGCCACUUUAUGGAGUUCAGCAAAUGGUCGUGAGAGAUUCAGAAUGAACACUGUAACAGGAGACUAACUUUCUGUUCCACAUUAUGCCCAGCUGUGAUCUUGUCCCCAGACCUGAUGUAGUUGUAGCACUGCGUAUAUUGUACAUUUGUACACCUCAGCUAUUUCCCAUGUGUUCCCUGGUUUUCCUGUUUGGGAUGUACACUGCAGAAAUCUUUCUCUUGUUGCUUCAAUAUACUGCAGUUAUGUCAGGCAAUAAUAUGAACCAAUAAUAUGACCAAAGUCUCCAAAGUCUUACUCCUCGGUCAUCAGAUAAUGCCAAACAUUUGUCAUUGUUAGCAUUUUCGCAGUUGCAAUCCCAUGUCCUGGUCUGCUGCGACUGUGGCAAUAAUGAUGCUGUAUGUCUGGUGCUUCUUACAUGGUGCCUCACUGAUCCUGCCAUUUGGGACGUGCACUGCAGGAAGCUCUAGCUGCUUCAGGACUCCAGGUCAUCAAGACUUGAUGAAAAAUAAUGAAUCUAACCCUGAUUAUUUUGGAAAAUGAAUACAAAAAAUUGAAAAGUUUACAGGAGAAGCAUGCAAGAAUGCUGCAGAUGCAUCAAAACAGAAGAAUACAGAUCAAGCCAUAGAAAUGGCACGUGAACAAUCUGUACAAGUUUCAUGAAGACUGAUACACUGUACUAAGAUCCAGAAUCUUUAAAUGUCCCCAGAAGGCUCCUUUCAAGACUAACAAUCCACAGU